This 332-nucleotide ribosomal RNA is filed under the name Staphylococcus epidermidis. RNAcentral describes it as "bacterial SSU rRNA". It matches the Rfam family "Bacterial small subunit ribosomal RNA", at positions 1198 to 1529 of the family's 1533-position model. Lineage: Bacteria; Bacillati; Bacillota; Bacilli; Caryophanales; Staphylococcaceae. The record is from RNAcentral.
GCCCUUAUGAUUUGGGCUACACACGUGCUACAAUGGACAAUACAAAGGGCAGCGAAACCGCGAGGUCAAGCAAAUCCCAUAAAGUUGUUCUCAGUUCGGAUUGUAGUCUGCAACUCGACUAUAUGAAGCUGGAAUCGCUAGUAAUCGUAGAUCAGCAUGCUACGGUGAAUACGUUCCCGGGUCUUGUACACACCGCCCGUCACACCACGAGAGUUUGUAACACCCGAAGCCGGUGGAGUAACCAUUUGGAGCUAGCCGUCGAAGGUGGGACAAAUGAUUGGGGUGAAGUCGUAACAAGGUAGCCGUAUCGGAAGGUGCGGUUGGAUCACCUC